GUGAGGAAUUUUCCGCAAUGGGCGAAAGCCUGACGGAGCAAUGCCGCGUGAAGGAUGAAGGCCUAUGGGUUGUAAACUUCUUUUCUCAGAAAAGAAUUAUGACGGUAUCUGAGGAAUAAGCAUCGGCUGACUCUGUGCCAGCAGCCGUGGUAAGACAGAGGAUGCAAGCGUUAUCCGGAAUGAUUGGGCGUAAAGCGUCUGUAGGUUGUUUAAAAAGUAUUCUGUCAAAGAUUAGGGCUUAACCCUAGAUAGGCAGAAUAAACUUUUAAGCUAGAGUUUGGGAGAGGCAGAGGGAAUUCCCGGUGGAGCGGUGAAAUGCGUAGAUAUCGGGAGGAACACCAAAGGCGAAGGCACUCUGCUGGGCCAAUACUAACACUGAGAGACGAAAGCGAGGGGAGCAAAUGGGAUUAGAUACCCUUGUAGUCC
RNAcentral lists this ribosomal RNA (426 nucleotides) under uncultured bacterium. RNAcentral describes it as "bacterial SSU rRNA". It matches the Rfam family "Bacterial small subunit ribosomal RNA", at positions 354 to 796 of the family's 1533-position model. The record is from RNAcentral.